This is an RNA transcript of Cercocebus atys (sooty mangabey), 2475 nucleotides long. It is a transcript of the gene named pre-rRNA-processing protein TSR2 homolog pseudogene, with no coding region annotated. Lineage: Eukaryota; Metazoa; Chordata; Mammalia; Primates; Cercopithecidae. The record is from RefSeq and is a predicted model, not a curated record. The transcript has a single exon.
CUGUCUGCCUCGGCCUCCCAAAAUGCUGGGAUUACAGGCCUAAAAACUUUUUAAAAACAAUUACAUGGUAAAGAAUUCAGGGACCGGGGCCGGAUAAUGGCGGGCGCUGCAGAAGAUGCGCGAGCUCUUUUCCGGGCUGGGGUCUGCGCGGCCCUGGAGGCCUGGCCGGCCUUGCAGAUCGCUGUGGAGAAUGGCUUCGGGGGUGUGCACAGCCAGGAGAAGGCCAAGUGGCUGGGGCGUGCAGUGGAGGAUUACUUAACGCGCAAUGCUGACUUGGAGCUAGAUGAGGUGGAAGACUUCCCUGGAGAGCUGUUGACCAACGAGUUUGAUACAAUUGUGGAAGACGGGAGUCUGCCCCAGGUGAGCCAGCAACUGCAGACCAUGUUCCACCACUUCCAGAGGGGCGACGGGGCUGCUCUGAGGGAGAUGGCCUCUCACAUCACUCAAAGAAAACGCAAGGUCACAGCCACUGCACUUAAAACAGCUAGAGAGACUGAUGAGGAUGAAGAUGAUGUGGACAGUGUGGAAGACAUGGAGGUCACAGCUCCGAAUGAUGGGGCUGCCACAGAUGGGGUCUGCUCCCAGCCUGAACCCUCUGAUCCAGACGCUCAGACUAUUAAGGAAGAGGAUAUAGUGGAAGAUGGCUGGACCAUUGUCUGGAGAAAAAAAUGAGUGGGGAUGGUUGGAAAUGGCUUUGGGCCCUUAUUUGCUAGUUCUGAGAGUUGUCUGUAGGGUUGUUUUUUUUGUUGUUGUUUGUUUGUUUUUUUUGAGGAUUGCAGACCUGUGGACUGGUUACCCCAUCUCCACCCUCUCCCCUGUUUCCGUGUCUGGCUCCCUCCAGGGCAAGGAAAACCUAGGGUCCUUGGUCUUGGGGGUGGGGGGACCUUGUCCAGCACAUUCCCUUGGGCCUUUAGUUAACAUCUGAGUGACCAAGCCGGGUUCCCCAGUACAGUGUCUUUUGGGUGCAGUCAUUGUGAGGAAGGGGAUGAGUGAGUGUGGGUGUGGCUGGAGGAGGAGCUAGAUGCCAGUGGGCAAGUGGAUUUGGGGAGGAGAGGACCAGCAGCAGCAGCAGUACUCAGUGAUAAGGGGCUGGCUGGGUCAGGAAUGGUGAGAUGAACGUGCAAGUGGAAGAGAGAAUAGUUGAAGAUGUGAACGAAAGUAGCUCUGGAGCCUUUCCCUUACCCCAGCCCCCACACAUGCAACAGCUCUGUACCCCUGUCCAGAACUUGGAACCUCCCAGGAAUGCUGCCUUCCUGCAGCCCAGCCUCCAGCCCUGGGUUCCCUCAGGAAUUCGAGGACCUUGGCUAGGUGGUGAGCUUGGAAGAGCCGGGCUUUGUUUUCUGCCUCCUGUAACCUCUUUCCUUACUCCUUAUCCCAUCCCAUUUGAGUUCAGGGGUGAGGCUUAAGAUCUUAAUAAAUAAUAUCUUACAGAUUAAAAAAAAAAUUCAAACAGAGAAGACCACAUUUACAGGUGGAAAUCUGGGACUGUGACUAGAUUCAGUCAAUCACUUAUUCUUUUCACUAAUAUUUACCAUCUAAAAUUUAUUUAUAAAUACCUACUGUAUAUAUGGUGGCUAAAAAAAGCAAACAAAAUACACAUGGUUUCUACCUGUAUGGCACUUACAAUCAAAUGGGAGAGAGAAUCCAAAGAAAGCAAAUGUGUAUGUAGUUACACCUCGUGAUGGGUUCAAUGAAAGGUGUACUAUGAAAAAAGUAAGAGGUGAGGGGGCCUAUUUUGAUUGGCUUAUCAGAGAAGACCUAUCUGAGGACAUGACAUUUAAGCUCAGAACUGAAGAGAAGUCUAAGCCAAGGAAGAGUGGCUGCAAAACCCUAAAGGAAUGAAGGAGGUUAGCAUGUUUGAGGAGUUAUAGCAAGACUUGCACUAAAUUCUAGUGAGGGCAGAGAUCACUAGAGCAGGUUGGUCAAAUAUUGACGAGACUGGUGAAAUGCUGAACUUCAACCUAAGUGCAAAGAAAAGCUUUUGACAGAUUUUGUGUAGGAGAAUGAAUGGAUCAGAUUCAGAAAACAGAAGGAUCAGUUGAGCGACUACUGUAGUAGGCGAAACAAAAAGUGCCUGUCUGUUUAGACUAUGGCAGUGGCAGUAGAGAAGAGAAGUGGACAUUUGAAAAGUAUUUAGAAGGUAGAAUGGAAUGGAUUUAGUGUUGGAUUAGAAAUUGGGGGUGCGACAGUGAGAAAAAUCAGAGAUGGCCCUGUAGAUCCCAGAAUAUGCCACUCCAAAAUAGGAAAGAUUGUUGAGCUUCAAACAAUUAAAAAGAAAUAGAUACAGAAAAGCUAUCUCUAUUUGCCUAAAUGCAAGACACAGAUUUACAAAGACAAUAGGUACCCCCUCUCUACCAGGAAUCACAAAAGUUAACCACUGAACACAACUUUAGAUCCUUAUGGCCUCGCAAUGGCUGCGGAGGUAUCUACAUUAACAAGCUUUAUUUUUAAUUAAUUAAUUAAUUUAUUUAUUUA